This 594-nucleotide ribosomal RNA is filed under the name Escherichia coli. Its description in RNAcentral is "partial 23S ribosomal RNA". It matches the Rfam family "Bacterial large subunit ribosomal RNA", at positions 1242 to 1820 of the family's 2925-position model. The record is from RNAcentral. Lineage: Bacteria; Pseudomonadati; Pseudomonadota; Gammaproteobacteria; Enterobacterales; Enterobacteriaceae.
UGUAAGCCUGUGAAGGUGUACUGUGAGGUAUGCUGGAGGUAUCAGAAGUGCGAAUGCUGACAUAAGUAACGAUAAAGCGGGUGAAAAGCCCGCUCGCCGGAAGACCAAGGGUUCCUGUCCAACGUUAAUCGGGGCAGGGUGAGUCGACCCCUAAGGCGAGGCCGAAAGGCGUAGUCGAUGGGAAACAGGUUAAUAUUCCUGUACUUGGUGUUACUGCGAAGGGGGGACGGAGAAGGCUAUGUUGGCCGGGCGACGGUUGUCCCGGUUUAAGCGUGUAGGCUGGUUUUCCAGGCAAAUCCGGAAAAUCAAGGCUGAGGCGUGAUGACGAGGCACUACGGUGCUGAAGCAACAAAUGCCCUGCUUCCAGGAAAAGCCUCUAAGCAUCAGGUAACAUCAAAUCGUACCCCAAACCGACACAGGUGGUCAGGUAGAGAAUACCAAGGCGCUUGAGAGAACUCGGGUGAAGGAACUAGGCAAAAUGGUGCCGUAACUUCGGGAGAAGGCACGCUGAUAUGUAGGUGAAGCGACUUGCUCGUGGAGCUGAAAUCAGUCGAAGAUACCAGCUGGCUGCAACUGUUUAUUAAAAACACAGCA